UACAGGGGGGGCAAGCGUUGUUCGGAAUUACUGGGCGUAAAGCGCACGUAGGCGGAUUUGUAAGUCAGGGGUGAAAUCCCGGGGCUCAACCUCGGAACUGCCUUUGAUACUGCAAAUCUCGAGUCCGGAAGAGGUGAGUGGAAUUCCUAGUGUAGCGGUGAAAUGCGCAGAUAUCAGGAAGAACACCCGUGGCGAAGGCGGCUCUCUGGGACGGUACUGACGCUGAGACGCGAAAGCGUGGGGAGCGAACAGG
RNAcentral lists this ribosomal RNA (253 nucleotides) under uncultured bacterium. RNAcentral's name for it is "partial 16S ribosomal RNA". It matches the Rfam family "Bacterial small subunit ribosomal RNA", at positions 524 to 776 of the family's 1533-position model. The record is from RNAcentral.